AAUCUGAUGCUCGAUCUUACCGGAGCAUCCGCCCGAGAACUACGAGCACAAACGCUUAAAACUCUAAGGACUUGGCGGUGUUCCAAACCCACCUAGAGGAGCCUGUUCUGUAAUCGAUGAUCCACGAUACACCUGACCAUUUCUUGCCCAAACAGCCUAUAUACCGCCGUCGCCAGCCCACCCAGCAUGAAGGCCCAACAGUGGACGCAAUAGCCCUAACGCGCUAAUAAGACAGGUCAAGGUAUAGCCUAUGGAAUGGAAGCAAUGGGCUACAUUUUCUAAUCUAGAACAUAACGGCAAAGGGAUAUGAAACUGUCCCUGGAAGGCGGAUUUAGCAGUAAAGUGGGACAAUCGAGCCCUCUUUAAGCCGGCCCUGGAGCACGUACAUACCGCCCGUCACCCUCCUCAAAAGCGACCCC
Molecule: ribosomal RNA, 419 nt
Filed under: Phylloscopus subaffinis
Lineage: Eukaryota; Metazoa; Chordata; Aves; Passeriformes; Phylloscopidae
Description: partial 12S ribosomal RNA
Rfam family: Bacterial small subunit ribosomal RNA
Source: RNAcentral